This 999-nucleotide ribosomal RNA is filed under the name Cibicidoides wuellerstorfi. RNAcentral's name for it is "bacterial SSU rRNA". It matches the Rfam family "Eukaryotic small subunit ribosomal RNA", at positions 1160 to 1803 of the family's 1831-position model. The record is from RNAcentral. Lineage: Eukaryota; Foraminifera; Rotaliida; Anomalinidae.
AAGGGCACCACAAGAACGCGUGGAGCAUGUGGCUUAAUUUGACUCAACGCGGGAAAUCUUACCGGGUCCGGACACACUGAGGAUUGACAGGCAAUAUUAAUACUUUGCUUCGGCAUUGUAUUAUGUUAAAUAUGCUAGUCCUUUCAUGAUUAUGUGAUAGGUGGUGCAUGGCCGUUCUUAGUUCGUGGAGUGAUCUGUCUGCUUAAUUGCGUUUCACUAAGGGCCUAUAAAUUUACGUAUGUUGUAUCGCACUUUGACCCCUUUCUUUAAUUAGAAAGCGCGUGUCUUAGUUUCGCUUUGCUCAUACAAUUAGGUCCUGAAAGCAACGAACGUGACCGCAACCUCUUGUUGCCUUUAUACCAAACAUGUUUAUUCAUUUUUUAAUGUUCAUUCAUGAAAAAAGGCUUUUUAAACUAGAGGGACCGCUGUUACUUUCUUAAACCAGAGGAAGGUUGCGGCAAUAACAGGUCUGUGAUGCCCUUAGAUGUUCCGGGCUGCACACGUGCUACAAUGAUUAUUGCAGUGAGCAUCUCAUUUUUACACACCGCAUGCGCGAGUCCAUUUAUUCACCUUCGGGUGUUUUAAAUGUGUACCUCUGCGCGCGGUAAAGCCUGCUUCGAAAGUAAGUGGGUAAUCAAUUAGAAGUAAUGAUUUCCUUUUUUAGCACACAUAUAUACGGCGUCUAUGCCCGGGUUACCUUGUUGUAGCUUUUGUGUGUAUAGAUGUUUUUUCCGUAUGUGCGAUUGUCAAUUCAUGGUGGGGACAGACCAUUGUUAAUUGUUGGUCUCGGUCUUAACUAGGAAUGCCUUGUACGGGUCUUUGGUUCAACAAACCACCCGGAAUACGUCCCUGCCCUUUGUACACACCGCCCGUCGCUCUUACCGAUGGACUUCUCUGUGAGUUUGAGGGACUGGGAACGCAGGAAUUUAUUUCUGCACACCUAUGGAAACUUAAACGAACAGUGUGGUCUAAAGGAAAGAGAAGUCGUAACAAGGCAUA